UUUAAAUCUUCAGGAUUUGUGUCUUUAUUACUAAGUCCAUUAUUCCAAUAUACUGGUCAGAAGAGUGAACCAGGAAACAGAGGGGACGGUCUUUUAUGCGGCAGCAGGGAAAGAGCUGGUUGCCUGAUGAUACUUAACCAUUGGGAUUGUUGAGAAGCAAUUUUUCAGCUUGCAGAUCCUAAGGAAGCAGCUCCAACUCAGAUCCUUCCUCAUCAUUGUUUCUCAUCAGGACUGGACGAUUCUGCCCAUGCAGGAGAAUGGAAAGAAUGCUGGGGAAAAGUAAAAGCAGAGCCUGGUGCCCCAUGAAUCCCUUCUGAAUUCUCUUGAAGGAUAUAGGCUACUCCUGAGGCUGGAUGCCUGAUAGCUCCUGGAAGGAGCCUCAUCUUAUUUCCCAGAGUCAUUGGUGAGAAGACUAGACUCUGCUUCCUUCUCUCACGUGUUUAGAGAUCAGUCUUUAAAAUAGCUUGGUCAGAUGAAAGAUUGUUCUUUGGAGGACUCACAGAUAAGUGCUUAAUAACAUGCCCCUACAAAAUGUAGAAAUCAAUAGUGAUUUCUAUUUAAAUAAAGAUAUCUCCUGUACUCUACAAUAAAUUGUAUUUAGGUCAUUCAAUUUAAUUAAAAUUCAAGAUAUUCAAAGGCCAAUUCUUUUUCUCAAAAGCCUUUAGAGGCCUUCUUUAAAGAUGUCCAUAAAGUUGAGCUCACAGACCCAUACAACCUUUUGUUUAAACAUAGUCUCAGAGUUGCUCUUAGUCACCGCCUUGAACUUUUAUCUUAGUGUAUUGUGAAUGAGCAGUGUCAGGGAUUCUGGCCUUCAGUGAGACCGCUAUG
Long non-coding RNA from Homo sapiens (human), 828 nucleotides. RefSeq lists it as uncharacterized. NCBI's taxonomy places the organism in Eukaryota, Metazoa, Chordata, Mammalia, Primates, Hominidae. The transcript has 3 exons. The record is from RefSeq and is a predicted model, not a curated record.